AACGAACGCUGGCGGCAUGCCUAACACAUGCAAGUCGAACGAGACCUUCGGGUCUAGUGGCGCACGGGUGCGUAACGCGUGGGAACCUGCCUUUAGGUUCGGAAUAACUCAGAGAAAUUUGAGCUAAUACCGGAUGAUGUCUUCGGACCAAAGGUUUAUCGCCUUUAGAUGGGCCCGCGUUGGAUUAGCUAGUUGGUGGGGUAAAGGCCUACCAAGGCGACGAUCCAUAGCUGGUCUGAGAGGAUGAUCAGCCACACUGGGACUGAGACACGGCCCAGACUCCUACGGGAGGCAGCAGUGGGGAAUAUUGGACAAUGGGCGAAAGCCUGAUCCAGCAAUGCCGCGUGAGUGAUGAAGGCCUUAGGGUUGUAAAGCUCUUUUACCCGAGAUGAUAAUGACAGUAUCGGGAGAAUAAGCUCCGGCUAACUCCGUG
RNAcentral lists this ribosomal RNA (433 nucleotides) under uncultured bacterium. Its description in RNAcentral is "partial 16S ribosomal RNA". It matches the Rfam family "Bacterial small subunit ribosomal RNA", at positions 29 to 507 of the family's 1533-position model. The record is from RNAcentral.